RNAcentral lists this transfer RNA (74 nucleotides) under Levilactobacillus namurensis. Its description in RNAcentral is "tRNA-His(gtg)". It matches the Rfam family "tRNA". From Rfam's summary of the family: Transfer RNA (tRNA) molecules are approximately 80 nucleotides in length. Their secondary structure includes four short double-helical elements and three loops (D, anti-codon, and T loops). Lineage: Bacteria; Bacillati; Bacillota; Bacilli; Lactobacillales; Lactobacillaceae. The record is from RNAcentral.
GCGGUAUUGGUGAAGUGGUUAACACACCGGAUUGUGGUUCCGGCACGCGUGAGUUCGAUUCUCACAUACCGCCC